This 223-nucleotide ribosomal RNA is filed under the name Bacillus cytotoxicus. RNAcentral describes it as "partial 23S ribosomal RNA". It matches the Rfam family "Bacterial large subunit ribosomal RNA", at positions 1443 to 1663 of the family's 2925-position model. Lineage: Bacteria; Bacillati; Bacillota; Bacilli; Caryophanales; Bacillaceae. The record is from RNAcentral.
CACCUCUUUAUCGUUUGAGCAAUGGAGGGACGCAGAAGGAUAGAAGAAGCGUGCGAUUGGUUGUGCACGUCCAAGCAGUUAGGCUGGUAAGUAGGCAAAUCCGCUUACCGCAAAGGCUGAGCUGUGAUGGGGAAGCUCCUUAUGGAGCGAAGUCUUCGAUUCCCCGCUGCCAAGAAAAGCUUCUAGCGAGAUAAAAGGUGCCUGUACCGCAAACCGACACAGG